Molecule: long non-coding RNA, 991 nt
Organism: Gossypium arboreum
Lineage: Eukaryota; Viridiplantae; Streptophyta; Magnoliopsida; Malvales; Malvaceae
Exons: 2
Source: RefSeq, a predicted model, not a curated record
GGUCCAAAUAAAAGAGCAAGAAUAAAGCAGGAUGAAACGCACAGAACAACCCAAAGAAACCAAAUAAACACAGAACCCAGAUGAAACGCCUCUCUAGAACCACCUUCAACCUGCUGCAUGAAGCUCAAAGUCCGAAAACCAGAAAGGUAACAACUUUGCUAACCUUCAUGAAGUACCCGAUAAACAAUCUCCACGCCACAAAGCUAUCUAUUGCCAGGCAAAACCAUAGACACCCCUUUGUUCCAAUCAACUGCUGCUGCCUGCUCCACCGUUACUGGCGCUUCCUCAACCCAAUACCUCGGCUCCAGAAACAUGCACCCCUUUUUUGCAAGAGCAUGCGCCGCCAUAUUCGCCUCCCUUCUUGCAAACCGAAAGGGAAUCGCCUUCAACCCGAUCAAUUCAUUAACGGGCUUAGCUCAUUUCUGACCUAGCUUAACCAACCCGAUCGAUCCAGCAGAUAUCCCUGAAUGAAGCCGAUCAAUUCAUUAACGAAUCAUUUAACCCUUUCAUGCACCAGUCUAUUACACAUAUACCAGGUUGCCCAAUAAGAAAUGACCAAUAAUUUCCUAUCUUUAUCCUGCAUAUUCAAGACAAUUUCUACUAAUUAACCAUUGUUUGUAAUAUGAACAUUGCACGUCUGGAGUCACCAUAAUCUUUAAAUGACGUCAUGUUUGUUUCAAGGUGUGGCACGAUCGGACAUGAUGAUCAACGGUUUCUUCCCCUUCCUUGCAUAGCGGACAGAUCCCCUCCACCUGUAAUUUGCGUCGGGAUAGGUUCUCCCUUGUACGCAAAAAAUUAUUAAAUAAUUUCCGAAUGUAAAAUUUUAUUUUAGCUGGGAUUUGCAACGCCCACAUUUUUGUAAGGAAAGAUGUAAUCAUGCCUGUUGUAUAUCGGAGUGGAUCUCCAUUGGCUUGUAAUUCUUCCUCAACAAGCAGUUUGUAACCACUCUUAAUCAUGUAAUCACUCGAACCAUCAUGACGCCAUACAAUCA